GACGAACGCUGGCGGCGUGCUUAACACAUGCAAGUCGAACGGAAAGGCCCUGCGUUUGUGGGGUGCUCGAGUGGCGAACGGGUGAGUAACACGUGAGUAACCUGCCCUUGACUUUGGGAUAACUUCAGGAAACUGGGGCUAAUACCGGAUAGGAGCUCCUGCUGCAUGGUGGGGGUUGGAAAGAUUCGGCGGUUGGGGAUGGACUCGCGGCUUAUCGGCUUGUUGGUGGGGUAGUGGCUUACCAAGGCUUUGACGGGUAGCCGGCCUGAGAGGGUGACCGGCCCCAUUGGGACUGAGAUACGGCCCAGACUCCUACGGGAGGCAGAGGUGGGGAGUAUUGCACAGUGGGCGGAAGCCUGAUGCAGCAACGCCGCGUGCGGGAUGACGGCCUUCGGGUUGUAAACCGCUUUCGCCUGUGACGAAGCGUGAGUGACGGUAAUGGGUAAAGAAGCACCGGCUAACUACGUG
Molecule: ribosomal RNA, 468 nt
Filed under: uncultured bacterium
Lineage: Bacteria
Description: partial 16S ribosomal RNA
Rfam family: Bacterial small subunit ribosomal RNA
Source: RNAcentral